AGUGAGCUACCAGAUUUACAGCUUUCUUAAUAGUAGCUGUUUAAACAGGGGUACAAACAAGAAGAGGAACCUGUAGUCUUUGUGGAGGUUAUAGCUCUGCCUUUCAAAAUGAAUUUAGAAGUUUAUACCCCU
Urocitellus parryii (Arctic ground squirrel) is the source of this 132-nucleotide small nucleolar RNA. The record is from Ensembl. Lineage: Eukaryota; Metazoa; Chordata; Mammalia; Rodentia; Sciuridae.